Molecule: long non-coding RNA, 394 nt
Filed under: Marmota monax (woodchuck)
Lineage: Eukaryota; Metazoa; Chordata; Mammalia; Rodentia; Sciuridae
Source: RNAcentral
CCAUUUGUAGGAGGAAUAGUUUAUAGAGCUGAGACCAGGCAAGGGUCCUGAAAGAGCCAUCCUGUCAGACAUUGCCGCUCCAAUGAGGCAGAACUGUGAUGAACCAUUUCAUACUGUAUUGAGUGUUUCCUAAACUCCUGACCCACUGCUCAUAUCUAUCUCUUGCCUAACAGUCAUGGAGGGGACACUCACAACUAGAUAUUGACUAUGAGAGAGGAACUUGUACGAGACCCCAGCAAAGCAUCCAGUCUCUCUUGGUCCCACUUUGUCCACCUAGCAAAACUUCAUGGGGACUUCUGUCCCAGCCUGGCCUUUGAAUGCCUCACAUUCAGAAGUUGGAGAAAGUCACUUAGAAGAAAGAGCAUCAUGAUAGAGCCUUCUGUAAGGUAAAACU